GCACUGCUGACGAGUCCCAAACAGGAUGAAACAGUAAUCCAGUGC
Molecule: non-coding RNA, 45 nt
Filed under: Echinostoma caproni
Lineage: Eukaryota; Metazoa; Platyhelminthes; Trematoda; Plagiorchiida; Echinostomatidae
Source: RNAcentral